Molecule: ribosomal RNA, 706 nt
Filed under: uncultured euryarchaeote
Lineage: Archaea; Methanobacteriati; Methanobacteriota
Description: bacterial SSU rRNA
Rfam family: Archaeal small subunit ribosomal RNA
Source: RNAcentral
AUACCCUCGGGAAACUGAGGAUAAAUCCUGAUAGAAGAUGAUUUUUGGAAUAAUUUAUCUUUGAAACUCGCGCUUAAGGACGGGGCUGCGGCUGAUUAGGUUGUUGGCGGGGUAAUAGCCCACCAAGCCUUUGAUCAGUAAGGGCCCUUAGCGGGGAAGCCCUGAGAGGGAGUCUGAGACACUACUCCCAGCCUUACGGGGUGCAGCAGUUAAGUAAAUUUUGCAAUGCGCGCAAGCGUGACAGAGCAAGUCAGAGUGUCUUUCAAUUUUUGAAAGACUUUUGUCAGCUGUAAAAAGGCUGGCGAAUAAGGACUGGGCAAGACCGGUGCCAGCCGCCGCGGUAAUACCGGCGGUCCAAGUCGCAGCCACAUCUAUUGGGCCUAAAACAUUCGUAGCUUGCUCCAUAAGUUCUUUGUGAAAUUCUAUCUCUUAAGGGUAGAGCGUGCGAAGAAUACUGUGGUGCUAGAGACUGGAGGAUGUAAGAAGUACAGUCGAGGUAGUGGUAAAAUACGUUAAUCUUGACUGGACUAACAACAGCGAAGGCAUCUUACAACGACAGAUCUGACAGUGAGGGAUGAAGGCUAGGGUCGCAAAAUGGAUUAGAUACCCAUGUAGUCCUAGCAGUCGCGCUGCGCACUAAACAUUAGUGCCUCCUCGAGAGGUAUUGGUGCUGUAGAGAAGUCGAAGAGUGAGCUACCUGGGAAGU